UCAUUGCUCCUGUCCAUCCGCUGCUAUGACGCAGAGAACCCGGAAGACGUGUGUUUGCUGUCAAUGCCAACGACAGAGAGGAGGCACAGCUGAAACCCCGCAUUUAAGACAAGAUGGCAGGACUGCCCCGUAGGAUCCUUAAGGAAACUCAACGUUUGAUUGCAGAGCCUGUCCCAGGCAUCGAGGCAGAGCCAGAUGAAGGCAACGCCCGCUACUUUCAUGUGAUCAUUUGUGGACCUCAGGACUCACCUUUUGAGGGGGGCACAUUUAAACUCGAGCUCUUUUUACCAGAGGAGUAUCCCAUGGCUGCUCCGAAAGUGCGCUUCAUGACCAAAAUAUAUCACCCCAAUGUAGACAAGUUGGGGAGAAUAUGUCUAGACAUUUUGAAAGAUAAAUGGUCACCAGCUCUGCAGAUUCGCACAGUGUUGCUGUCAAUCCAGGCAUUACUAAGUGCACCCAACCCUGAUGAUCCCCUUGCAAAUGACGUUGCAGAGAAGUGGAAGUCCAAUGAAGUUGAAGCCAUAGAAACAGCCAGGUCAUGGACCAGGCUUUAUGCUGGAAGCAGAAAUGAAGUGUAAAGCAGCUCAACAAGUGGAAAUCAAGUGCGAUUCCUUAUGCUCUGCCAAGACCUCUUCCUACUUCAUUUACAUUUAAAGGACACCGUCUUGAAUAUAUAUAAACAUAUAUAUAUAUAUAUAUAUAUUAUAAAAUAAACGUGAAUAUAUGGUAAA
This is an RNA transcript of Sander lucioperca (pikeperch), 731 nucleotides long. It is a transcript of the gene named ubiquitin-conjugating enzyme E2Na, with no coding region annotated. Lineage: Eukaryota; Metazoa; Chordata; Actinopteri; Perciformes; Percidae. The transcript has 5 exons. The record is from RefSeq and is a predicted model, not a curated record.